Molecule: ribosomal RNA, 2992 nt
Filed under: Salmonella enterica subsp. enterica serovar Infantis
Lineage: Bacteria; Pseudomonadati; Pseudomonadota; Gammaproteobacteria; Enterobacterales; Enterobacteriaceae
Description: 23S ribosomal RNA
Rfam family: Bacterial large subunit ribosomal RNA
Source: RNAcentral
GGUUAAGCGACUAAGCGUACACGGUGGAUGCCCUGGCAGUCAGAGGCGAUGAAGGACGUGCUAAUCUGCGAUAAGCGCCGGUAAGGUGAUAUGAACCGUUAUAACCGGCGAUUUCCGAAUGGGGAAACCCAGUGUGACUCGUCACACUAUCAUUAACUGAAUCCAUAGGUUAAUGAGGCGAACCGGGGGAACUGAAACAUCUAAGUACCCCGAGGAAAAGAAAUCAACCGAGAUUCCCCCAGUAGCGGCGAGCGAACGGGGAGGAGCCCAGAGCCUGAAUCAGCAUGUGUGUUAGUGGAAGCGUCUGGAAAGGCGCGCGAUACAGGGUGACAGCCCCGUACACAAAAAGCGCAUGUGCUGUGAGCUCGAUGAGUAGGGCGGGACACGUGGUAUCCUGUCUGAAUAUGGGGAAAUUCAUCCUCCAAGGCUAAAUACUCCUGACUGACCGAUAGUGAACCAGUACCGUGAGGGAAAGGCGAAAAGAACCCCGGCGAGGGGAGUGAAAAAGAACCUGAAACCGUGUACGUACAAGCAGUGGGAGCACAGGUUUACCUGUGUGACUGCGUACCUUUUGUAUAAUGGGUCAGCGACUUAUAUUCUGUAGCAAGGUUAACCGAAUAGGGGAGCCGGAGGGAAACCGAGUCUUAACCGGGCGUUAAGUUGCAGGGUAUAGACCCGAAACCCGGUGAUCUAGCCAUGGGCAGGUUGAAGGUUGGGUAACACUAACUGGAGGACCGAACCGACUAAUGUUGAAAAAUUAGCGGAUGACCUGUGGCUGGGGGUGAAAGGCCAAUCAAACCGGGAGAUAGCUGGUUCUCCCCGAAAGCUAUUUAGGUAGCGCCUCGUGAAUUCAUCUCCGGGGGUAGAGCACUGUUUCGGCUAGGGGGCCAUCCCGGCUUACCAACCCGAUGCAAACUGCGAAUACCGGAGAAUGUUAUCACGGGAGACACACGGCGGGUGCUAACGUCCGUCGUGAAGAGGGAAACAACCCAGACCGCCAGCUAAGGUCCCAAAGUCAUGGUUAAGUGGGAAACGAUGUGGGAAGGCCCAGACAGCCAGGAUGUUGGCUUAGAAGCAGCCAUCAUUUAAAGAAAGCGUAAUAGCUCACUGGUCGAGUCGGCCUGCGCGGAAGAUGUAACGGGGCUAAACCAUGCACCGAAGCUGCGGCAGCGAACGUAUCACUUAAAGCGAUUCAGCGGGUUACGAUUGACGGAGCGAAGCGACGUCAAAGCGUAUACAAAGUCGAGUCGGUUUAAGGAUACGUUCGUUGGGUAGGGGAGCGUUCUGUAAGCCUGUGAAGGUGUGUCGUGAGGCAUGCUGGAGGUAUCAGAAGUGCGAAUGCUGACAUAAGUAACGAUAAAGCGGGUGAAAAGCCCGCUCGCCGGAAGACCAAGGGUUCCUGUCCAACGUUAAUCGGGGCAGGGUGAGUCGACCCCUAAGGCGAGGCCGAAAGGCGUAGUCGAUGGGAAACGGGUUAAUAUUCCCGUACUUGGUGUUACUGCGAAGGGGGGACGGAGAAGGCUAUGUUGGCCGGGCGACGGUUGUCCCGGUUUAAGCGUGUAGGUGUGUGUUCCAGGUAAAUCCGGUUCACUUUAACACUGAGGCGUGAUGACGAGGCACUACGGUGCUGAAGCAACAAAUGCCCUGCUUCCAGGAAAAGCCUCUAAGCAUCAGGUAACAUCAAAUCGUACCCCAAACCGACACAGGUGGUCAGGUAGAGAAUACCAAGGCGCUUGAGAGAACUCGGGUGAAGGAACUAGGCAAAAUGGUGCCGUAACUUCGGGAGAAGGCACGCUGACAUGUAGGUGAAGUGAUUUACUCAUGGAGCUGAAGUCAGUCGAAGAUACCAGCUGGCUGCAACUGUUUAUUAAAAACACAGCACUGUGCAAACACGAAAGUGGACGUAUACGGUGUGACGCCUGCCCGGUGCCGGAAGGUUAAUUGAUGGGGUCAGCGCAAGCGAAGCUCCUGAUCGAAGCCCCGGUAAACGGCGGCCGUAACUAUAACGGUCCUAAGGUAGCGAAAUUCCUUGUCGGGUAAGUUCCGACCUGCACGAAUGGCGUAAUGAUGGCCAGGCUGUCUCCACCCGAGACUCAGUGAAAUUGAACUCGCUGUGAAGAUGCAGUGUACCCGCGGCAAGACGGAAAGACCCCGUGAACCUUUACUAUAGCUUGACACUGAACAUUGAGCCUUGAUGUGUAGGAUAGGUGGGAGGCUUUGAAGCGUGGACGCCAGUCUGCGUGGAGCCGACCUUGAAAUACCACCCUUUAAUGUUUGAUGUUCUAACGUGGACCCGUAAUCCGGGUUGCGGACAGUGUCUGGUGGGUAGUUUGACUGGGGCGGUCUCCUCCUAAAGAGUAACGGAGGAGCACGAAGGUUGGCUAAUCCUGGUCGGACAUCAGGAGGUUAGUGCAAUGGCAUAAGCCAGCUUGACUGCGAGCGUGACGGCGCGAGCAGGUGCGAAAAGCAGGUCAUAGUGAUCCGGUGGUUCUGAAUGGAAGGGCCAUCGCUCAACGGAUAAAAGGUACUCCGGGGAUAACAGGCUGAUACCGCCCAAGAGUUCAUAUCGACGGCGGUGUUUGGCACCUCGAUGUCGGCUCAUCACAUCCUGGGGCUGAAGUAGGUCCCAAGGGUAUGGCUGUUCGCCAUUUAAAGUGGUACGCGAGCUGGGUUUAGAACGUCGUGAGACAGUUCGAUUCCUAUCUGCCGUGGGCGCUGGAGAACUGAGGGGGGCUGCUCCUAGUACGAGAGGACCGGAGUGGACGCAUCACUGGUGUUCGGGUUGUCAUGCCAAUGGCACUGCCCGGUAGCUAAAUGCGGAAGAGAUAAGUGCUGAAAGCAUCUAAGCACGAAACUUGCCCCGAGAUGAGUUCUCCCUGAGACUUAGAGUCUCCUGAAGGAACGUUGAAGACGACGACGUUGAUAGGCCGGGUGUGUAAGCGCAGCGAUGCGUUGAGCUAACCGGUACUAAUGAACCGUGAGGCUUAACCUU